AACGAACGCUGGCGGCAGGCCUAACACAUGCAAGUCGAGCGAGGACUUCGGUUCUAGCGGCGGACGGGUGAGUAACGCGUGGGAAUGUGCCCUUCUCUACGGAAUAGCCCUGGGAAACUGGGAGUAAUACCGUAUACGCCCUAUUGGGGAAAGAUUUAUCGGAGAAGGAUCAGCCCGCGUUGGAUUAGGUAGUUGGUUGGGUAAUGGCCUACCAAGCCGACGAUCCAUAGCUGGUUUGAGAGGAUGAUCAGCCACACUGGGACUGAGACACGGCCCAGACUACUACGGGAGGCAGCAGUGGGGAAUCUUAGAAAAUGGGGGCAAACCUGAUCUAGCCAUGCCGCGUGAGUGAUGAAGGCCUUAGGGUUGUAAAGCUCUUUCAGCUGGGAAGAUAAUGACGGUACCAGCAGAAGAAGCCACGGCUAACUCCGUG
This 433-nucleotide ribosomal RNA is filed under the name uncultured bacterium. RNAcentral describes it as "partial 16S ribosomal RNA". It matches the Rfam family "Bacterial small subunit ribosomal RNA", at positions 29 to 507 of the family's 1533-position model. The record is from RNAcentral.